RNAcentral lists this ribosomal RNA (253 nucleotides) under uncultured bacterium. RNAcentral describes it as "partial 16S ribosomal RNA". It matches the Rfam family "Bacterial small subunit ribosomal RNA", at positions 524 to 776 of the family's 1533-position model. The record is from RNAcentral.
UACGGAGGGUGCAAGCGUUGUUCGGAAUCAUUGGGCGUAAAGCGCGUGUAGGCGGUUGCCUAAGUCUGGUGUGAAAGCCCGGGGCUCAACCCCGGAAGUGCACUGGAUACUGGGUGACUAGAGGGCGAGAGAGGAAAGUGGAAUUCAUGGUGUAGGGGUGAAAUCCGUAGAUAUCGGGAGGAACACCGGUGGCGAAGGCGGUUCUCUGGGCCUUACCUGACGCUGAGGAGCGAAAGCGUGGGGAGCAAACAGG